This 904-nucleotide ribosomal RNA is filed under the name uncultured Green Bay ferromanganous micronodule archaeon ARC12. RNAcentral's name for it is "bacterial SSU rRNA". It matches the Rfam family "Archaeal small subunit ribosomal RNA", at positions 1 to 913 of the family's 1478-position model. The record is from RNAcentral. Lineage: Archaea; Thermoproteati; Thermoproteota.
UUCCGGUUGAUCCUGCCAGACCUGACUGCUAUCGGAUUGAUACUAAGCCAUGCGAGUCAUUGUAGCAAUACAAGGCAUACGGCUCAGUAACGCGUAGUCAAUCUACCCUAUGGACGGGAAUAACCUCGGGAAACUGAGGAUAAUGCCAGAUAGAACAUUAUGCCUGGAAUGGUUUAUGUUUCAAAUGAUUUAUCGCCAUAGGAUGGGACUGCGGCCUAUCAGUUUGUUGGUGAGGUAAUGGCCCACCAAGACUAUUACAGGUACGGGCUCUGAGAGGAGUAGCCCGGAGAUGGGUACUGAGACACGGACCCAGGCCCUAUGGGGCGCAGCAGGCGAGAAAACUUUGCAAUGUGCGAAAGCACGACAAGGUUAAUCCGAGUGGUUUCUGCUAAAGAAACCUUUUGUCAGUCCUAGAAACACUGUUGAAUAAGGGGUGGGCAAGUUCUGGUGUCAGCCGCCGCGGUAAAACCAGCACCUCAAGUGGUCAGGAUGAUUAUUGGGCCUAAAGCAUCCGUAGCUUGUUUUGUAAGUUUUCGGUUAAAUCCAUGCGCUUAACGUAUGGGCUGCCGGGAAUACUGCAUAACUAGGAAGUGGGAGAGGUAGACGGUACUCGAUAGGAAGGGGUAAAAUCCUUUGAUCUAUUGAUGACCACCUGUGGCGAAGGCGGUCUACCAGAACACGUUCGACGGUGAGGGAUGAAAGCUGGGGGAGCAAACCGGAUUAGAUACCCGGGUAGUCCCAGCUGUAAACUAUGCAAACUCAGUGAUGCAUUGGCUUGUGGCCAUUGCAGUGCUGCAGGGAAGCCGUUAAGUUUGCCGCCUGGGAAGUACGUACGCAAGUAUGAAACUUAAAGGAAUUGGCGGGGGAGCACCACAAGGGGUGAAGCUGCGGUUCAAUUGGAGUC